RNAcentral lists this transfer RNA (73 nucleotides) under Mnemiopsis leidyi (sea walnut). RNAcentral's name for it is "tRNA-Lys for anticodon CUU". It matches the Rfam family "tRNA". Rfam says of the family: Transfer RNA (tRNA) molecules are approximately 80 nucleotides in length. Their secondary structure includes four short double-helical elements and three loops (D, anti-codon, and T loops). Lineage: Eukaryota; Metazoa; Ctenophora; Tentaculata; Lobata; Bolinopsidae. The record is from RNAcentral.
GCCCGGUUAGCUCAGUCGGUAGAGCAUGAGACUCUUAAUCUCAGGGUCGCGGGUUCGAGCCCCGCAUCGGGCU